GUUCCAGACUCCUACGGGAGGCAGCAGUGAGGAAUAUUGGUCAAUGGCCGAGAGGCUGAACCAGCCAAGUCGCGUGAGGGAAGACGGCCCUACGGGUUGUAAACCUCUUUUGUCAGGGAGCAACGCCGGCUACGUGUAGCCGGACUGAGAGUACCUGAAGAAAAAGCAUCGGCUAACUCCGUGCCAGCAGCCGCGGUAAUACGGAGGAUGCGAGCGUUAUCCGGAUUUAUUGGGUUUAAAGGGUGCGCAGGCGGCGUGGCAAGCAAGCGGUAAAAUAGCGGGGCUCAACCCCGGCGAGCCGUUUGAACUGGCGCGCUUGAGUUCAGGCGAGGUAGGCGGAAUUCGUGGUGUAGCGGUGAAAUGCAUAGAUAUCACGAAGAACUCCGAUUGCGAAGGCAGCGUACCGGCGCCCAACUGACGCUCAUGCACGAAAGCGUGGGUAUCGAACAGGAUUAGAUACCCCUGUAUG
This 469-nucleotide ribosomal RNA is filed under the name uncultured bacterium. Its description in RNAcentral is "bacterial SSU rRNA". It matches the Rfam family "Bacterial small subunit ribosomal RNA", at positions 328 to 793 of the family's 1533-position model. The record is from RNAcentral.